RNAcentral lists this ribosomal RNA (520 nucleotides) under uncultured bacterium. RNAcentral describes it as "partial 16S ribosomal RNA". It matches the Rfam family "Bacterial small subunit ribosomal RNA", at positions 28 to 523 of the family's 1533-position model. The record is from RNAcentral.
GACGAACGCUGGCGGCGUGCUUGACACAUGCAAGUCGAACGGACUACUUUGCUUCGGUAAGGUGGUUAGUGGCGUACGGGUGAGUAACGCGUAGACAACCUACCUCUUAGAUGGGGACAACAUCGCGAAAGCGGUGCUAAUACCGAAUGAAGUGACUUUCCUGCAUGGGAGAGAUACGAAAGGUGGCCUCUAUUUAUAAGCUACCAUUGAGAGAUGGGUCUGCGUCUGAUUAGCUAGUUGGCGGGGUAACGGCCCACCAAGGCGACGAUAAGUAGCCGGUCUGAGAGGAUGAACGGCCACAUUGGGACUGAGACACGGCCCAAACUCCUACGGGAGGCAGCAGUGGGGAAUCUUCCGCAAUGGACGAAAGUCUGACGGAGCAACGCCGCGUGAGUGAAGAAGGUUUUCGGAUCGUAAAGCUCUGUUGUUUGAGACGAAUGUGCCUGUUUCGAAUAGGGAUAGGUAAUGACGGUAUUAAACGAGAAAGCCACGGCUAACUACGUGCCAGCCGCCGCCGUAA